GCAGAUAUAAGCCUAAUUGGUAAGGCAGAUGAUUGCUAAUCAUCGAGUAAUCGCUUUUAGCGGUGUAUGUGUUCAAAUCACAUUAUCUGCG
RNAcentral lists this transfer RNA (91 nucleotides) under Caudoviricetes sp. RNAcentral describes it as "tRNA-Ser". It matches the Rfam family "tRNA". Rfam says of the family: Transfer RNA (tRNA) molecules are approximately 80 nucleotides in length. Lineage: Duplodnaviria; Heunggongvirae; Uroviricota; Caudoviricetes. The record is from RNAcentral.